RNAcentral lists this ribosomal RNA (254 nucleotides) under uncultured bacterium. Its description in RNAcentral is "partial 16S ribosomal RNA". It matches the Rfam family "Bacterial small subunit ribosomal RNA", at positions 524 to 776 of the family's 1533-position model. The record is from RNAcentral.
UACGUAGGGUGCGAGCGUUGUCCGGAAUUAUUGGGCGUAAAGAGCUCGUAGGCGGUGUGUCGCGUCGGCCGUGAAAACCUGCAGCUUAACUGUGGGCGUGCGGUCGAUACGGGCAUCACUGGAGUUCGGCAGGGGAGACUGGAAUUCCUGGUGUAGCGGUGAAAUGCGCAGAUAUCAGGAGGAACACCGGUGGCGAAGGCGGGUCUCUGGGCCGAUACUGACGCUGAGGAGCGAAAGCGUGGGGAGCGAACAGG